AGACGGGGGGGGCGAGCGUUGUCCGGAAUUACUGGGCGUAAAGGGCGCGUAGGCGGCUUGGUAAGUCGCGUGUGAAAGCCCUGGGCUCAACCUAGGAACUGCAUUUGAUACUGGCAGACUCGAGUGUGGUAGAGGGUAGUGGAAUUCUCGGUGUAGCGGUGAAAUGCGUAGAUAUCGGGAGGAACACCAGUGGCGAAGGCGGCUCUCUGGACUGACACUGACGCUGAGGUGCGAAAGCGCGGGUAGCAAACAGGAUUAGAUACCCCAGUAGUCC
This 274-nucleotide ribosomal RNA is filed under the name uncultured bacterium. RNAcentral describes it as "partial 16S ribosomal RNA". It matches the Rfam family "Bacterial small subunit ribosomal RNA", at positions 523 to 796 of the family's 1533-position model. The record is from RNAcentral.